UCUAGCAUAAACAGUAUUAGAGGCACUGCCUGCCCGGUGACAUACGUUUAACGGCCGCGGUAUCCUGACCGUGCAAAGGUAGCAUAAUCAUUUGUUCCUUAAAUAGGGACUUGCAUGAAUGGCCAAACGAGGGUUUAACUGUCUCUUACUCCCAAUCAGUGAAAUUGACCUUCCCGUGAAGAGGCGGAAAUAAUCUAAUAAGACGAGAAGACCCUGUGGAGCUUAAAUUUAUUAGUCCAAGCUAUUCCGAAUCCACCCCCACAGGGACAACACACCGCUCAUGGACUAAAAAUUUUGGUUGGGGUGACCUCGGAGUACAAUACAACCUCCGAAUGAUUUUAAUCGAGACAAACCCGUCCAAAUUUUAACUCAUUAAUUGACCCAAACUAUUGAUCAACGGAACAAGUUACCCCAGGGAUAACAGCGCAAUCCUACCCGAGAGUUCAUAUCGACAGUAGGGUUUACGACCUCGAUGUUGGAUCAGGACACCCAAAUGGUGCAGCCGCUAUUAAUGGUUCGUUUGUUCAACGAUUAAAGUC
RNAcentral lists this ribosomal RNA (539 nucleotides) under Exilisciurus concinnus (Philippine pygmy squirrel). Its description in RNAcentral is "partial 16S ribosomal RNA". It matches the Rfam family "Bacterial large subunit ribosomal RNA", at positions 1821 to 2595 of the family's 2925-position model. Lineage: Eukaryota; Metazoa; Chordata; Mammalia; Rodentia; Sciuridae. The record is from RNAcentral.